UACGGAGGGGGCUAGCGUUGUUCGGAAUUACUGGGCGUAAAGCGCGCGUAGGCGGCUUUGUAAGUUAGAGGUGAAAGCCCGGAGCUCAACUCCGGAACUGCCUUUAAGACUGCAUCGCUAGAACGUUGGAGAGGUGAGUGGAAUUCCGAGUGUAGAGGUGAAAUUCGUAGAUAUCAAGUGGAACACCGGUGGCGAAGGCGAGUCCCUGGACAACACCUGACACUGAGGCACGAAAGCUAGGGGAGCAAACAGG
Molecule: ribosomal RNA, 253 nt
Filed under: uncultured bacterium
Lineage: Bacteria
Description: partial 16S ribosomal RNA
Rfam family: Bacterial small subunit ribosomal RNA
Source: RNAcentral